CCAACACAAGUCAAACACAACCCUGGCAAAUAAGCAUCUCCUCAUAGAGGUGCAUAAAAUCAAUGCAUCUCUAUGAGGAAAGUUCAGUGUCUCCAUGCAGAGGGUGGAGACACUGAAUGCCUGCACAGUGUGCAGCACUUCCACAGUAAGCACCUCUGCUAGCCAGUGGAGGUUUUCCUAGGCUUUAAUAUAAACACAGAGGAGUGGCCAGUGGAGGUGUUCCUAGGCUGUAAUGUAAAC
Non-coding RNA from Pelobates cultripes (western spadefoot toad), 240 nucleotides. The record is from the annotation of a GenBank genome assembly. Lineage: Eukaryota; Metazoa; Chordata; Amphibia; Anura; Pelobatidae.